This is a long non-coding RNA of Meleagris gallopavo (turkey), 1588 nucleotides long. The record is from Ensembl. Lineage: Eukaryota; Metazoa; Chordata; Aves; Galliformes; Phasianidae.
CGUGAGGGACCCUCUGGGAGGCCUGUUGAUACAGGUUUGUCAGUGGAACAGACAGCUCACUGUGGCUUCCAUUUACAAGCUUCUUAAACUAGCUUCUAAACUAGCUUUUAACAAAGAAAAUGUGUUAAAGUACCAAUAAAACUGCUCUAAUAAGCCCUCCAUAGCAAACUCCUAAUUGAAGCUCAUAAAGAGAGCUCUAAACAGUAUUUAAAGUGCAAAGAAAACAUAUUGGUCCUCAAUGCAAACAAGUAGAUGUAGUGCUGAUGCAUUUUAUUUGACCAACAUGAAAGCUGCAGAACACAAAAAUGUAGGUAUGGGAUGUGUGUGGUUAGAAAGCUGGUUAUUGGCCUUACAAUCAGGUUUAAAAUCUCUCUCUACAACUGGCAAGGAGUUGUACAACAGCACAUCCAACCUGCCCUCAUCCAGAAACUUGUAAAAAUGCUUUAUCACUUAUUCCCUUUCUUAUAAUAACAGAUGUACCUGUACCUGAAAUGGGACAGUAGCAUUGCUCACUGCCUUGUGAUUUACUUCUGCAUUCCAUUGGUCCUGUGUCACAGUUUAGGCCCUUCAUGACAGCACAAAAACUUAAAUUACUCUGCACCGUGUUGAGGGCUUCCCAUGACCCUUCUUGACCCCUGCCAGGCACCUGCUUGCUGAAAGUAUCUCACUGACUGAGAUCCUCAGUCAGAUAACCAUCAGGCUCCUCCCCAACAUGGAGAACACAUGGCUUCUCCAUGGCUUAAGGGGAGAGAAGUGCAUACAAAUGGUAAAGUAGAGGAAAGGGAAAUUACAUUUGAGAAUGGUGUAUCUUGGAGAAAACAUGCCAACACAUAGCAACACAUCUCACCUCACCACAACGCCUAUAUCUUUGGGAAGCAAGCUUAGAAGCAAAUAUAUUCUCCUCCUGGUUGUAUAUCCAGCCACGAGCUCUACAAAACAGAGUUCCCAUCAACAGGAAAUAUCUUUCUCAUUCAGGAGUUUCUUAAUUCAGCAGUCUAUUCAGUUCUUGGUCUCUGUAUGCACCCAGACCUGGCAGUUGAAAAGAACACAGGCAAUCUACGACACUGAAGUUAAUGGAUACAUUAGCAACAACAGCUGGUACAAUUCAGAGAAUCACAGACUAUCCUGCGUUUGAAGGGAUCUACAAAGAUCAUCGAGUUCAGCUCCUGAUUCAACAAAGCACCACUCCAAAUUCAAACUCUGCAUUUAAGAAAGUUGUCCAAAUGCUCCCUGAACUCCAUGCCCACUGCCCUGGGCAGCCUGUUCCAUUCCCACUGCCCUCUGGUGAAGAACUUUUCCCUAUCCCCCACCUGACUCUCCCCUGACACAGCUCCAUGCCAUUCCCUUGGGCCCUGUUGUUAUCACCAGAGACCAGAGAUCACAAUUACGAUGGAUUGGUCAUUAAUACAGUUGUGUGUCCUUCAAACUUCUGUGCUACUUCAUUGACAAGGAGUAUCCUGAUAUCAGAAAAACAAAAAGGAGGGGAAGUCACAGGCAUAGGCAAAGUGGUCAAAUUUUGGGGAUGCUAUCAGUAGUGUCUCUUAUGAUUUGUUCCUAAUGCCAUAGGAGUGAAUUGCACAAUUAUCAC